RNAcentral lists this unclassified non-coding RNA (253 nucleotides) under uncultured Verrucomicrobiota bacterium. Its description in RNAcentral is "uncultured Verrucomicrobia bacterium contains 16S-23S intergenic spacer region". It matches the Rfam family "Bacterial small subunit ribosomal RNA", at positions 524 to 776 of the family's 1533-position model. The record is from RNAcentral. Lineage: Bacteria; Pseudomonadati; Verrucomicrobiota.
UACAGAGGUCCCGAGCGUUGUUCGGAUUCACUGGGCGUAAAGGGUGCGUAGGUGGCCGGGAAAGUUUGAUGUGAAAGCUCGGAGCUCAACUCCGAAAUGGCAUUGAAAACUAUCCGGCUGGAGGCUUGGAGGGGAGACUGGAAUUCUCGGUGUAGCAGUGAAAUGCGUAGAUAUCGAGAGGAACACCGGUGGCGAAGGCGAGUCUCUGGACAAGACCUGACACUGAGGCACGAAAGCUAGGGGAGCAAACAGG